Molecule: ribosomal RNA, 319 nt
Filed under: uncultured eukaryote
Lineage: Eukaryota
Description: partial 18S ribosomal RNA
Rfam family: Eukaryotic small subunit ribosomal RNA
Source: RNAcentral
CCCUUAGAUGUUCUGGGCAGCACGCGCGCUACAAUGGUCUUCGCAAACGGAUGCAUUCUCGAAGGAGAAUGCCAAUCUUGGAAUCUAUGCCUUGGUCGGGACAGUUGCUUGCAAUUUUUCGACUCGAACCAGGAAUUCCUUGUAAUCGUGAUUCAUCACAUCACGAUGAAUACGUCCCUGCCCUUUGUACACACCGCCCGUCGCUCCUACCGAUCGAAGAGUUAGGUGAAUUGUUUUGAUGGAUAAGAUUUGACUAUGGUCAACUCUCGUUGUGAAAUUCUGUGAAUCUGACUGUUUAGAGGAAGGAAAAGUCGUAACA